Long non-coding RNA from Capsicum annuum, 553 nucleotides. RefSeq lists it as uncharacterized. NCBI's taxonomy places the organism in Eukaryota, Viridiplantae, Streptophyta, Magnoliopsida, Solanales, Solanaceae. The record is from RefSeq and is a predicted model, not a curated record. The transcript has 2 exons.
CUGUCUGCAAAGUAACUUUCUCAAAUCAACCACUAAAUUUAACGUCACUAGGAUGGUAUGGGUCUUGAACAAAAGCGAAGAGCGAUUAGUUUAUGAAGCUCCAAAAGGGCAGACGUAUUCACACAUGAUGGCGACAGUGCAGUAUCUGAUGGUUCAUAUGUCAUGAAGAGGGAGAAUAAAAGUAAGGACAGAUUGAAGAAGCAGGCGGGCUGAACACGGUGGAGGGAAGUGAGAAUAUAAGAAAACAUGAGGAGGAGAACGCAGGAGCUGGAGAGUCUGGUAACUGUAUAUCCACCCGUCUUAUACCAAAAGAAAUUUGCAAACAUGUUUGGCUCGCGUUCAAAUAUUUAGAAGCAGGAAGCAUUGAGAGCUUAACAACAAAUGAUAACAUUUGGCAGCUAGCACAGCACAGGAAAGGCUUCACUUGGGGUUUGGAACUCUAGCAGUGGCUGUUUGGUGGAUCCUUUCGAAAGAAAGAAAUGCUAGAGUCUGAGAAGAAGAAUGACAAUAUUGUAAAUUUUAGAUUAUAUCUUUGCUUUUUUUUUUUUUGGUG